Molecule: long non-coding RNA, 2569 nt
Organism: Heterocephalus glaber (naked mole-rat)
Lineage: Eukaryota; Metazoa; Chordata; Mammalia; Rodentia; Bathyergidae
Source: Ensembl
CCGGGUCCCGGCCCAGCGCAGAAGUGCGUGAGCGGAGGCACGCCCCUGCGGACGUCAGCUCCCGGCGGCCCGCGCCGGCGCGAACCGGUUGAUGAAUGGUGAGGGCGGGCGCGUGAGUGGCUCUUGGUGGGGCCGACGGGAGCGCUGGAAGCCUGUGGGGAAGGGGCCGAGCGCGAGGGGGAGCCGUCUGGACGGGAGCGGCUCCCGCCGAGAACCCACCGCACCGAGCCACCUGGGCACGAGCGUCACGCGGAGGCCGGCGUCUGAGGGACGCGCCAGCCGAGCCGGGUUACCUCGGGCACGCGCCCUUGCCAUCUCCGUCAGCCAGGGACAUUUGUGUUGCCCGAGCGCCGGCCUGGUGACUCACGGCCGAAUGCGGGACGUGACGGGAGGAGCCGGCCUGGGUCUCGUCUUCAGAGCCCGGCCUGCGAGCUUUCGAAAGCCCGGGAGCUGUGGUGCUGCUGCCGCUGCUGCCACCGUGCAGUGGCCACACUGCCCAAACCCAGGGUUUCUGAAGAAGACUCUGGUCAUGUCAUGGACUGAUGUCAUUCUUUGCGUCAAAACCUAAGCUUUUCUUUUCUCAUUCUCAGCCCUGUGGUUCCACUGUCUAAUUAGGCCUUUAAGAAGGGAAAGCCUUACUGCAGUUUUGUGCCAUACAAGGGCGAGGGCGUCAUUGAUAAGCUGAAAAUCCUUUCUCCUCUGCUUUCUGGAAGGAGUAAACAAGACCUUUACCUGCUUUGCAGAACUUGGUUUCCCCCUAAUACUGAGGCCUUUUGUUUGCUGUUUUCCCUGAGCAUUAGAUUGAAGCAGGCUUUAGGGAUCAGAUUGUGUCCACAGUCACUAUAAUGUAUCAUCUCAGGAUUUAUUAGACCUUCUAAUUAGAGACUGGUUGUACAGUUAUUCAACUUUCUUAUAAAAAUGUACUCUAAGCAAAGUAAGUGCUUUUGAGGAACAGAAUUAGGCUAGACUUUUGAAAGAACAAAAGUCAACUCAUCUUCAUUUUAAAGAAAACUGCCUGCCUAGCAAUCCAUUUAAGUGAAGGAAAACUAGAGAGCCUGAGAUACAGAUUAUGUCCCUUCACAAAUAUAAAAAGAAUAAGUCUGAGAGAAUAUAGGAAGAUUUAAAAAGUCCUGUGAUGGUAAGGUUGAAGCUAAGCAGACCAGGGAACUCAAAUCUCAAAGAAAAAGAUUCAUUUUAUAGAAAUUAAAAACUCAUGGCAAGUGACAAAUAGUAAUUUCAUGUUGCGGUAAAAUAGUGGCAAUCUGUAGCACAGGCAGAUUUAAAUGACAAGGUUGUUUAACGUAGAAAGCAUAACUAAAGACAGCCAAUCUUACCCCCAAGCUAAUACAGUGUUGAUAACUAGAAUAGUGAAACUAUUCUGCAUGUAAUGACUUUUCAAAAAAAGGUGGGAUAAGAUCUAGACUCCACAAAUGCUAAGCAGAGCUCUGUCUGCGUUAAGCUAGUUUUCUUGUAGAGUUUGUGAUACAAGCUGUGACUUGUGCUCCACAGAUCCUGUGAUUACCACCAGCAGUGCUGACAUGAAGUACUGAGCUAUGCUCUUCUAGCCCAAAUGCUGUGCUCAAACUGGGAGAAUCAGCCUCCCGGGCAACGUAUCACCCUGUCCUACUUUGAAAAGGACAUAGUUCAAGGAUGAAGAACAGAGGCUUUUGCUGCUGAGAGAACAUAUUUUAAACAAGUCAUAAGUGGAGGCUUGAUAACCAGCCUGCUAAAUUCUCUUAGGGUAGUCAUGGGUCUGCCUCUCUGGCCACUGCCAUGUUAUGUAUCCUGAGCUGCAGUGGCUCACUGCUGUGCAGAAGGUAUCUGCUCUAUUGAGUCCAAUAGUUUCAAGCUGCUGAUUCUCAGAGCAGUAAUCCAUCCCAGCAUUGGUCUGAAGAACCCUGUGAACUGAGAAUUCACUAACCUUCACAGACUGGCUCGGCACUAGCACCUCUACUUCUCUACAGGUGUACAAAAGAAAUGGAAGAUUCAUCCUUUUCAGGCAAGUCUUCCAAGGUCCCUUGCUUUUACUUUGAAAAUCUGACUUGAUCCUUUGAAGAUGGAGAUGGGUCUGCCAUGGCCAUCCAUACACCUGUGCUUCGCACGUCUCUGAGGGCCUGCAGAGCUCAAGUUCUCUGCUGAACCACCUAAAGCUCCUCUGAAGAAGGGAGGGUUGGUCAGCAUUGGUCUCCUGUUAGUAGACAGCAAUUGUUCCAGGAGGGGAAAGAUUAGCAGAAACAGACUGAUGGUUUUUCUAGGAAUUCAUGGAGUAAUUGCUGCUUUGCUUGGCUCUGUUCUAGUAUUGACUACAUGUGAACAUCUUUAGCAGAAAGCCUACCAUGAGGGUCAGAGCUGCCAAUGCUGCACUCAAAUAUCUUCUCCUUGUAUGGUUCUGACACAGUUUCCAUGAGGAUCUACUGUGGAUUGGACUAGUCUAAGAGGAGGCCAUGGAAACAAGAAUAAGACUGCACCCCAAACUGACCUAUGUAUACGCAGAGAGGGAAUCCUGUUUGUUAAAAUGUGUAAAGAUGUGGGCCAGAGACUUAGCUCAGUGGUUCCACUGCCUGCCUCG